Molecule: ribosomal RNA, 458 nt
Filed under: uncultured bacterium
Lineage: Bacteria
Description: bacterial SSU rRNA
Rfam family: Bacterial small subunit ribosomal RNA
Source: RNAcentral
GACGAACGCUGGCGGCGCGCCUAACACAUGCAAGUCGAACGAAGCACUUCGGUGCUUAGUGGCGGACGGGUGAGUAACACGUGAAGAACCUGCCUUACAGAGGGGGGACAACAGUUGGAAACGGUGACUAAUACCGCAUGUCAUCACCGGAGGGCAUCCUCUGGUGAAAAAAGGAGCAAUUCGGUAUAGGAUGGGCCCGCAUCUGAUUAGCUAGUUGGUGAGAUAACAGCCCACCAAGGCGACGAUCAGUAGCCGACCCGAGAGGGUGAUCGGCCACAUUGGGACUGAGAUACGGCCCAGACUCCUACGGGAGGCAGCAGUGGGGAAUAUUGGGCAAUGGGGGAAACCCUGACCCAGCAACGCCGCGUGAGGGAAGAAGGCUUUCGGGUUGUAAACCUCUUUUAGCAGGGACGAAGAACGUGACGGUACCUGCAGAAAAAGCAACGGCUAACUACGUG